UUAGAUACCCUGGUAGUCCACGCCAUAAACGAUGAGUANUAAGUGUCGGGUUAANCCGGUACUGAAGUUAACACAUUAAGUACUCCGCCUGAGUAGUACGUACGCAAGUAUGAAACUUAAAGGAAUUGACGGGACUCCGCACAAGCGGUGGAUCAUGUUGUUUAAUUUGAAGAUACCCGAAAAACCUUACCAGGUCUUGACAUGUUUUUGCGAAACGGUAGUAAUAUCGUGGAGGUUAUCAGAAACACAGGUGGUGCAUGGUUGUCGUCAGCUCGUGUCGUGAGAUGUUAGGUUAAGUCCUAAAACGAGCGAAACCCUUAUCGUUAGUUGCCAGCACGUUAUGGUGGGGACUUUAACGAGACUGCCAGUGAUAAAUUGGAGGAAGGUGAGGAUCACGUCAAAUCAGCAUGCCCNNANGACCNGG
RNAcentral lists this ribosomal RNA (424 nucleotides) under 'Citrus sinensis' phytoplasma. RNAcentral describes it as "bacterial SSU rRNA". It matches the Rfam family "Bacterial small subunit ribosomal RNA", at positions 778 to 1212 of the family's 1533-position model. The record is from RNAcentral. Lineage: Bacteria; Bacillati; Mycoplasmatota; Mollicutes; Acholeplasmatales; Acholeplasmataceae.